AUGGGCCAGGAAAAUGUGACUAAUGCCAGCUGUGAGAAACUCUGCAAGGCAGAGCAGCCUUUUGGCCUGAACCAAACAGCUCCUUGCUACCAGGAGGAGGAGGAGCUGUCCCAGGAGCUCAGCUCCUUCAUUUUGGGAAGGUGCCCUCCUGUAGAUGCUGUGAAGGAGCCAGGGGAGGCAAAUGAAGGCGCCAGGUUAUCGGACUUGGAGAAAGGAGAGCCUGAAGGAAGAGUGUUUCAGGAGUUGUUCCUAGGUUCUGCUGAAUCCAUCAGAAAUAAAGAAUUAGGUGUUAGAGGCGAGGGGCAACCUGGAUGUAUAAAGGAAGCCGAACUGCUGUUCUCAAAAUCCCUUAUCCUCCACAUUGCCUGCGAGAUCUGGCAUUUGCUGAAGAGCCAAGGAGAGGAGCAAGCUGCUAAGAAUGGAGCAACUCUUAAAGGGGUAUUUAUUCGUGGCUAA
Molecule: long non-coding RNA, 456 nt
Filed under: Anser cygnoides (Swan goose)
Lineage: Eukaryota; Metazoa; Chordata; Aves; Anseriformes; Anatidae
Description: lncRNA (ENSACDG00005016108.1)
Source: RNAcentral